AAGCCUGAUAUGGCUAAAGAAUGAAUGGAAUUACUCCAGACUUGACCAAGUAGGAGUCCUGAUUGCAGCCGCCAUGCUGGCUGGAUAUCACUGCCUGCGGAGAUUAAUAAGGCCUCAGGCACAUGGCAUGCAGCUGUGGAUUUGCUUGCAUCAGGGCUACCUUAACUCCUCAACCUUCUAUAAAUAUCACCUUAAGAGACCUGGACGAAUCAGACAUCUCACAGAAUACUAAAUCUCUUCAUUUCAUUGGCAAUAUCACAUAAAUUGGGAAGGAUGAACAAGAGCAGGAAAGUACGCUGAAUUCCCUGGCAAAACAUGUGCACUAUAGAAGGUGAAGAUAAACCUUACAGAGCUUCAAGAGUGGCCACUGCAGUGAAGUGUUAUGGGUCCAGUGGUUAGGGGCAUGCAGAGCUCCCCCCUCCCCACCCCACCAAAGUAAAAGACAAACUUGCAUCUUGCAUCCUUACCAGAAGGAAGGAAGCACACUACUUGGUGAGCCUCUCUGGGUUCUGGCAACAGCACAUUCCACAUCUAAGUUUAUUGCUUUGGCUGACACUCUGGGUGAUAUAGGAGGAGGCCAGCUUUGAGUGGGGCCUGGACUGGAAAGGACACUGCAGCAGACCCAGGCUGUGGUGCAGUCAGUCACCAUCCCUCAGACCUCUGGUGCUGGAGGUGGCGGUCUGGGGAAAGAAGCAGGAUGGAGCUGAACCAAGCAUCAGUGGGAAAGUCAGAAUGCAGGGCCUGGGAUCAGGAGUAAGGCCAUGGAGUCCACAGCAGAGAAACAUGCUCCAUGUUAGAAGCAACUUUUAGCAUGUUACUGGCCCUGAUAAGAUAGAAUGCUUGAGCAUAGGACACCAAGCAACCAUGUGAUUCCAAGUGCCCGUGUGUAUUGGCUUCUAUGUGACCCAUAGAGUCAUUCACUGGACAGGCCCAGCGGCAUCUAUCAUGAGACGAAAAUGGUCCAUGUCGGUUGAGCCUCAAUUCCAUGUUAACACCCACAGAAAACACCCAGUCCUGAUGUGGCCCUGAAUAACCAAACAAAUUGAAGACAAAUUGAAGUUAGCCAGUCUGCAUCAUGGAUCAGCCCAGGCCUGAUAGGAAGGACCCGUGAGUGGAGCAACCACAGUGGCAGGGAUGAAGCUACAAAUGAGUCCAGCAGCACUGUCUCUCCACUACCAAGGCCCACCCAGCUACUGCUUCCUCUGAAUACUCUGCUCGUGAGCAUUGCAGGCCAAUGAUAGGCACCGAUAGGGCACUAUUUCUUAAAGUAACUGACUAGCCCCUAAGUGACAAGUUGAAUAGCUUGAACACCAUCCAUCCUGGAAGGGGCAGAAGUUCAUCCUCACAGGGAUAGGAUCACAGGGAUUCGAUGUGGUGUGGUUUUCCUCUCUGCUCUCAGACCCUCAGUCAACAACACUAUUGGCAUUCCUGAUCCACUGGCUCAGAAUUUCAGUACAUUAUCUGCCUGGGGGACACACCUCUUGGGGAAGGGGAUGAAGUGUGGGCCCUGACCAUGGGAUCCCCUGGUCAUAUCACCACCUGCGCCUCUCAAGUGCUGCCAGGCACACAGAGUCAUGGACAGGACUCUACAGGCACAACUCAGUACCAGCUUGGAUGAAACCCUCUGAGGAAUGGGUGCCAUCUUUCAGGAUGUGAUGCAUGUAUUGAAUCAAAGACGUCUCUAAGGCACUGUUUUCAGAAGGAAGAAUACGUGGGUCCAAAAACCAAGAAGUCAAAGCAGGUGUGUCUCAUUCCUUAUAUUCACCCCCAGGGUGAUUUACUUAUAAGUAAAUAAAUAAAUACAUAAAUAACAUGAAUACAUAAAUAAAUUUAUUUAUGCAUGUA
This is a long non-coding RNA of Pan troglodytes (chimpanzee), 1845 nucleotides long. RefSeq lists it as uncharacterized. The transcript is spliced from 2 exons. NCBI's taxonomy places the organism in Eukaryota, Metazoa, Chordata, Mammalia, Primates, Hominidae. The record is from RefSeq and is a predicted model, not a curated record.